AAGGCUAAAUACUCCCUAGUGACCGAUAGUGAACCAGUACCGUGAGGGAAAGGUGAAAAGCACCCCGGGAGGGGAGUGAAAGAGUACCUGAAACCGUGUGCUUACAAGUAGUCAGAGCCCGUUAAGGGGUGAUGGCGUGCCUUUUGUAGAAUGAGCCGGCGAGUUAUGAUAUGCAGCGAGGUUAAGCAGGAGAUGCGGAGCCGAAGCGAAAGCGAGUCUGAAUAGGGCGAGAGUUGUAUGUCAUAGACCCGAAACCGAGUGAUCUAGCCAUGAUCAGGUUGAAGUUGGGGUAAAACCCGAUGGAGGACCGAACCGACCCCCGUUGAAACGUUGGCGGAUGAAUUGUGGCUAGGGGUGAAAUUCCAAACGAACUCGGAGAUAGCUGGUUCUCCCCGAAAUAGCUUUAGGGCUAGCGUCAGAGUGAAAGUUAUGUGAAGGUAGAGCACUGAAUAUGUGAUGGCCUCAUCCCGAGGUACUGAAUAUAAUCAAACUCCGAAUGUCACAGGAACAUAUCUGGCAGUCAGACUGCGGGUGAUAAGGUCCGUAGUCAAAAGGGAAACAGCCCAGACCAUCAGCUAAGGUCCCAAAAUAUAUGCUAAGUGGAAAAGGAUGUGGAGAUGUCCAGACAACCAGGAGGUUGGCUCAGAAGCAGCCACCCUUUAAAGAGUGCGUAACAGCUCACUGGUCGAAUGACUCUGCGCCGAAAAUUUACCGGGGCUAAGCAUAAUACCGAAGCUAUGGAUUUAUACGACAAGUAUAAGUGGUAGGGGAGCGUUCCUGUCAGCGAGGAAGCAUGACCGCAAGGACAUGUGGAGCGGCAGGAAGAGAGAAUGCCGGUGUGAGUAGCGGAACGUGGGUGAGAAUCCCACGCACCGAAUACCCAAGGUUUCCAGAGGAAGGUUCGUCCGCUCUGGGUAAGUCGGGACCUAAGGCGAGGCCGAAAGGCGUAGUCGAUGGACAACGGGUGGAGAUUCCCGUACCUGAUGAAGAGGCAAUGGAGUGACGGAGCAGGCUAGGCGAUCCAGCUGCUGGAAUAGCUGGUGCAAGCGAGGUAGGGGACAUCCAGGCAAAUCCGGAUGUUGAAACCCGAAGGCGUGACGCGUAUGGAACAUUACGAUAAGUACAGGAGUCGCCGAAGCAAGCUUCCAAGAAAAGCUUCUAGCAAUCAACUCUUUGUCAGCCCGUACCGAAAAUGGACACACAUGGGUGAGGAGAGAAUCCUAAGGUGAGCGAGAGAACUAUAGCUAAGGAACUCUGCAAAAUGACUCCGUAACUUCGGGAGAAGGAGUGCUCAUUGAGAGAUGAGCCGCAGUAAAACGGCCCAAGCGACUGUUUACCAAAAACACAGCUCUCUGCCAAGACGCAAGUCGAAGUAUAGGGGGUGACGCCUGCCCGGUGCUGGAAGGUUAAGAGGAGUGGUCAGCGCAAGCGAAGCCAUGAAUUGAAGCCCCAGUAAACGGCGGCCGUAACUAUAACGGUCCUAAGGUAGCGAAAUUCCUUGUCAGGUAAGUUCUGACCCGCACGAAAGGCGUAACG
This 1536-nucleotide ribosomal RNA is filed under the name human gut metagenome. RNAcentral describes it as "bacterial LSU rRNA". It matches the Rfam family "Bacterial large subunit ribosomal RNA", at positions 462 to 2006 of the family's 2925-position model. The record is from RNAcentral.